CUCGGUUUUCCAUCUUUUCAAGGACGACAAUAUCCGGCCGGUUGUGCGCUAUUGGCCUGUCCGUUAUCAGUGGAUGGUCCCAAUACACCCUCACAGCAUCAUUCUCCUGAACUUGUUUAGGGCGAUGGCUUGAUGGAUUACUUUUGCCAUGGCAUUGUGUCGAUCAGUGUAUUCCCUGGGAGCGAGCACUGGGCAAGAUGAUGUGACAUGCUGAAUUGUUUCUGGUGCCUGAGAGCAUUUACGGCAUCUGUCGCUGGGAAUAUUUCUUCCCGUUAUGUUUUUCUGGUACGCUCUCGUAGGAACCACCUGAUCCUGGAUCGCUGCCAGUCUACCCUCCGUUUCUGGAAAGAGGACCGUUGGAUAUCUUCCGUGGAGUGCCUUGCCAUGCCAUUCUUCGCAUAGUUCCUCGAUGGUUGAAGGUUCAGCCAGAUGAUGUUCAGAAGCCAGGUUCAGCGCCGUAAUACCUUGAUCUUCCCUGGAGAGAGCUUUAUAGAAAGGUAAGUGUUUUGAUUUAAAAUAUUCUCUCAUAUCCUUGACUGUAUUGUGGUGUAUGGUUUCGAUGUUUUGCAUACCUCUGCCCCCUUUAUUCCUCGGUAUGUAUAGUCUAUUUACUGAGG
Coccinella septempunctata (seven-spotted ladybird) is the source of this 617-nucleotide long non-coding RNA. RefSeq lists it as uncharacterized. The transcript has 3 exons. The record is from RefSeq and is a predicted model, not a curated record. NCBI's taxonomy places the organism in Eukaryota, Metazoa, Arthropoda, Insecta, Coleoptera, Coccinellidae.